This 497-nucleotide ribosomal RNA is filed under the name uncultured bacterium. RNAcentral describes it as "partial 16S ribosomal RNA". It matches the Rfam family "Bacterial small subunit ribosomal RNA", at positions 28 to 507 of the family's 1533-position model. The record is from RNAcentral.
GACGAACGCUGGCGGCGUGCCUAAUACAUGCAAGUUGAGCGAUGAAGAUUGGUGCUUGCACCAAUUUGAAGAGCAGCGAACGGGUGAGUAACGCGUGGGGAAUCUGCCUUUGAGCGGGGGACAACAUUUGGAAACGAAUGCUAAUACCGCAUAACAACUUUAAACAUAAGUUUUAAGUUUGAAAGAUGCAAUUGCAUCACUCAAAGAUGAUCCCGCGUUGUAUUAGCUAGUUGGUGAGGUAAAGGCUCACCAAGGCGAUGAUACAUAGCCGACCUGAGAGGGUGAUCGGCCACAUUGGGACUGAGACACGGCCCAAACUCCUACGGGAGGCAGCAGUAGGGAAUCUUCGGCAAUGGACGAAGGUCUGACCGAGCAACGCCGCGUGAGUGAAGAAGGUUUUCGGAUCGUAAAACUCUGUUGGUAGAGAAGAACGUUGGUGAGAGUGGAAAGCUCAUCAAGUGACGGUAACUACCCAGAAAGGGACGGCUAACUACGUG